Molecule: non-coding RNA, 2569 nt
Organism: Phascolarctos cinereus (koala)
Lineage: Eukaryota; Metazoa; Chordata; Mammalia; Diprotodontia; Phascolarctidae
Source: RefSeq, a predicted model, not a curated record
UCAGAAGAGAAAGCCCCUACAUCCAUCCUCAGGGAGCUCCCAGUCUGAUGGGGAAGUUGCUGACUCAGCCCUAUGUGGCUUAGCUUGAUGUUGCAAUGAGGCAGAUGCCAAAGGAAGGAGAGUUGCCAAGGAUUUCACUGCAGCCGUUGGUACAGGAGGUAAAAAGAAGAAAGACAGGCCAAUUCUACCCACUGAUGGGGAAACGGGCAAGAGGGAAGUCACUGAUCCAGUCAGUGGAGAACAAAGGGCACCAAGAAGACAUGUUUAUAGGCCUCAUGGGGAGAUCAACUAACCAAGGUGGGUGACAUUCCCCAGGUGGUCGGUCCCCAGUGCAGCUCAAUAAAAAAGCCCCAAAGUUGUCUCAGCCCAAGGAAAUGGCACCCCUUGACAAGGUGGGUCACCUACCCCUCCAAGUCAGGUAAGUAAAUCCCAACAAAUCCAGGAUGCUGAGCAACGUCCGAUGGCUCAGAAACGUGCUACCUCCGUUUCUUUAUCUGUAAAAUAGGGAUAAUAGCUGCCUCCCAGGGUUGUUGUGAGGACCAAAUAAUAUAAUUGUAAAGUGCUUAGCACAGAGCCCAGCACAUAUAAAGCCUUAUGUCAAUGUUAGAUUAUUGUUAUUAUCAUUAUUAUUCCUAGGACAAGGAGCUCCCACUCAAGCUCUGACCCUAUUUCCCUCAGUAAGAUUCCCCUUGGACCUUUUCUAAUGGCAAAUGAGGUAUGGGAGUGAGUGGGUGAGAGGAAAGAAUAAGUGGGCCUAGCAGUAGCACCUGGAAUAUGGCCUGCUAUGAAACUGACUUCUUUGCCCUCCUAAUCCCAAUUCUAACAUCAGCUCACCAGUCUCUUUUGAAGAGAAUUUCAUACCUAUGGAGAGAGAUAGUUGAGAGACAAUUGGAAAUGGGGGACUCAUAAUAUCUGGUUUUGAAUCCCAAAUCUGUCACUCACUAGCUGUGUGAGAAAAUCACUUCAUUUCUUUGAGACUCAAGUUGAACUCAUCUGUAACACAGGGGUAAUACAAUCUAACCUGAGAGGCAUCAUGCUGGAAUGGAGAGAGAGCUAGCUUCUCCAUCAGGAAGACCUAGUUCAAACCCUACUUAUAACACGUAAUAGCUGUGUAACCACAGACAUGUUAUUUAACCUCUUAGUUGCCAUUGGCAAUUAACUUAAAAGCGUAAGUUACAGCUAAGUCUCUGCAAUUUAAAACUUGAAUACCUAUCCUGUCCACCUCACAGGGCUGUUUCAAAAACCAAAUCAUGUAAAAGUACAUAAAGGGGCCUUGUAAAUUCUAAAGCAACACCACAUCAGGAGUUUUAUUGAUAUUUGAAAAAAGAAUCCUCAAGGUGUCCAAAAGAGUCUCUGCUGUUGCCUGCUUCAGGUCCUGAAAUUUCACCAUUAGAGAUUCAUUCUUUUGGCUCUAGGGUUUUCCAUGCAGGUAUUGCUGGCAGGGGGCAUCACCUUCCAAGGAUUUGGGUUAGCACCUAAGCAAACUGGGCUGACAUAUUGAACAUAGAAUUAGGAAGACUCUGGUUUGAAUCCUGUUCUGGGAAAUGUGUUAAAUGUAUGACCCUGGGCAAGUCCCUCAAUAUUUCUAAGCCUCAGUUUUCUCAUCUAUAAAAUGGGAAUAAUCACAUCUGCCCUUCAAGGGUUGUUGUGAAGCUCAAAUGAGAUAACGGAUAUACCAAGCUGUGUGAAUUUUAUAGUAUAAUAUAAAUGUGAGCUACGAUAAUUAUUGUGAUUGUGGUUAAAGUUAAGUGUCUGCUUAAGAACCAUGAGAUGCAAAGAGUAGGGAGGUGAAGAAGAGAUGGAAGGGCUCUCAAAGACGAACUUCACUGACCUCACUAGUCUACCCGGAAGUGGACUUCACAGAGAAACUUAACUCCAAAGAUAUUAAUUCAAAUCGGGCUUCUCCCCACCACACUACACUCAUCACGCUCCCAGAACGUCUUUCUCUAGCCUCUGUUCUGGGUGCUGAGGGUGAUAAGUGCAUUCCACUAACGACCUAAGGCAAACAUCUUUAGGAAGGUAAAUCUAUUGGGAGAAUGAAAUACCCUAACACUUUGUACUUAGAGAGGAAUCAUCAAAUGUUAUAACUGGGAUCAUGUAGUCCAAGUCCCCUCUGUAAGUGCUCCAGGCCUUCCUUUCAAAUGUCAUAGAAGGCAUCCCAAAACUAGAGGGAAGGGAAUUGUGGGAUUAACUAGUGUUUUGGUAUCCUCUAGGGCCACUGUUUCCUUUCUAUUCUAUUCGUUCUUAUAACUGAGUUGAGUACAGAGUUUUACCAGAGUCCUUGCCUGACAGAAGCUUGAAAUUUCUCAGAAGAUGUGGACAAAUAAAAAACACCACAUAUGCCUACAGGUUCAAUAACCAGGAGAUGACAAGAGCCCUGGACUAAGGAGGGAGGAGACCUACUCUUGCCACUUUCUUCUUUGUGACCUUGGACAAGACACUCCACUUCCCUAACUCCCAUAUUCCUCAUCUGUAAAAUGGGGGAAUGGAUCAAGAUCCUCUCAAGUCUUCUCUGCCUCUGAAAUUCUGUCAUUCCAGAAUCUUAAUCUUUUUCAAUUUUUUUUUUCAU